CGCGAGCAGGAAGCAGCCACCGCGACACCGCAGCUGGAAGCAGGCCAAACUACCGCAACACCGCUCUGCAAUCUACAUGCAGAUGUGGGCCAAGUCGACCUACAGGCCACGUCGCUGCCGCCGCCGCGGGCGAGCCCGAGCAGCUGCCGCUGGCAAGCAAGCGCGCAGGCUCCGUGCCGCCGCCCCGAGCAAGCUCGCUGAACCGCCUCCGCGGGCAAGCCCGAGCGAGCAGGCCGCGCCGCUGCCGCAGGCAAGUGCGCAGGCCUCGUGCCGCCGCCCCGAGCAAGCUCGCUGAACCGCCGCCGCGGGUGAGCCCGAGCGAGCAGGCCGCGCCGCUGCCGCAGGCAAGUGCGCACUGCGCAGGCUCCGUGCCGCCGCCCCGAGCAAGCUCACUGAACCGCCGCCGCGGGCGAGCCGCUGCCGCAGGCAAGCGCGCAGGCUCCGUGCCAUCGCCCCGAGCAAGCACGCCGAACCGUCGCCGCGGGCGAGCCCGAGCGAGCAAGCCAUGCCGCCGUCCGGAAGGCAACCAGGCUCAGCGGCCGCCAUCCCCAUGCACUGAGAAGGAGAAAGAAAAAAAAGGGCUGGAAAACCCUAAAAACACAUUUGAAUGGGCCUUUUGGGCCGAAAUUUGCAGGUCUCUCCUUAAACUACAUGUUUUUUUUUGUUUUUACCUCUUGAAUUAUAGAAUAAUCACGAAAUGUCAAAAAUGAAGAGAAAUAUUUUUCAUGCAAUAAUUGACAUUAGAAUUAUUCGCUAUUUAUACAUUUGAA
Molecule: unclassified non-coding RNA, 770 nt
Filed under: Zea mays
Lineage: Eukaryota; Viridiplantae; Streptophyta; Magnoliopsida; Poales; Poaceae
Description: misc RNA Zm00001eb295190
Source: RNAcentral